GAUGAACGCUGGCGGCGUGCCUAAUACAUGCAAGUCCAGCGAACGGACGAGAAGCUUGCUUCUCUGAUGUUAGCGGCGGACGGGUGAGUAACACGUGGAUAACCUACCUAUAAGACUGGGAUAACUUCGGGAAGCCGUAGCUAAUACCGGAUAAUAUUUUGAACCGCAUGGUUCAAAAGUGAAAGACGGUCUUGCUGUCACUUAUAGAUGGAUCCGCGCUGCAUUAGCUAGUUGGUAAGGUAACGGCUUACCAAGGCAACGAUGCAUAGCCGACCUGAGAGGGUGAUCGGCCACACUGGAACUGAGACACGGUCCAGACUCCUACGGGAGGCAGCAGUAGGGAAUCUUCCGCAAUGGGCGAAAGCCUGACGGAGCAACGCCGCGUGAGUGAUGAAGGUCUUCGGAUCGUAAAACUCUGUUAUUAGGGAAGAACAUAUGUGUAAGUAACUGUGCACAUCUUGACGGUACCUAAUCAGAAAGCCACGGCUAACUACGUG
This 497-nucleotide ribosomal RNA is filed under the name uncultured bacterium. Its description in RNAcentral is "partial 16S ribosomal RNA". It matches the Rfam family "Bacterial small subunit ribosomal RNA", at positions 28 to 507 of the family's 1533-position model. The record is from RNAcentral.